Non-coding RNA from Oncorhynchus mykiss (rainbow trout), 1334 nucleotides. Lineage: Eukaryota; Metazoa; Chordata; Actinopteri; Salmoniformes; Salmonidae. The record is from RefSeq and is a predicted model, not a curated record.
CCUGCAUUGCUUGCUGUUUGGGGUUUUAGGCUAGGUUUCUGUACAGUUUUUUGAGAUAUCAGCUGAUGUACGAAGGGCUAUAUAAAUACAUUUGAUUUGAUUUGAUUUGACUAUACAACAUGGCAGGUAGCUACUAUUCAUUCACUAUACAACAUGGCAGGUAACUACUAAUAAUUCACUAUACAACAUGGCAGGUAGCUACUAUUCAUUCACCUAUACAACAUGGCAGGUAGCUACUAUUCAUUCACUAUACAACAUGGCAGGUAGCUACUAUUCAUUCACUAUACAACAUGGCAGAUAGCUACUAUUCAUUCACAAUUCAACAUGGCAGGUAACUAGUAUUAAUUCCCUAUACAACAUGGCAGGUAGCUACUAUUCAUUCACUAAGUACCAUAGGAGAUUACACUAUUCAUUCACUAUACAACAUGGCAGGUAGUUACUAUUUAUUCACUAAGUACCAUAGGAGAUUAUACUAUUCAUUCACUAUACAACAUGUCAGGUAGCUAGUAUUCAUUCACAAUACAACAUGGCAGAUAACUACUAUUCAUUCACUAAGUACCAUAGGAGAUUAUGCUAUUCAUUCACUAUACAACAUGGCAGGUAGCUACUAUUCAUUCACUAUUCAACAUGGCAGGUAACUACUAUGCAUUCACUAUACAACAUGGCAGGUAGCUACUAUUUAUUCACUAAGUACCAUAGGAGAUUCUGCUAUUCAUUCACUAUACAACAUGGCAGGUAGCUACUAUUCAUUCACUAUACAACAUGGCAGGUAACUACUAUGCAUUCACUAUGCAACAUGGCAGGUAGCUACUAUUCAUUCACUAUACAACAUGGCAGGUAACUGCUAUUCAUUCACUAUACAACAUGGCAGGUAACUACUAUUCAUUCACUAUACAACAUGGCAGGUAACUACUAUUCAUUCACUAUACAACAUGGCAGGUAACUACUAUUCAUUCACUAUACAAAAUGGCAGGUAACUACUAUUCAUUCACUAUACAACAUGGCAGGUAACUAUUAUUCAUUCACUAUACAACAUGGCAGGUAACUACUUUUCAUUCACUAUACAACAUGGCAGGUAGCUACUAUUCAUUCACUAAGUACCAUAGGAUAUUAUACUAUUCAUUUACUAUACAACAUGGCAGGUAGCUACUAUUCAUUCACUAAGUACCAUAGGAGAUUAUACUAUUCAUUCACUAUACAACAUGGCAGGUAGCUACUAUUCAUUCGCUAUACAACAUGGCAGGUAACUACUAUUCAUUCACUAUACAAUAUGGCAGGUAGCUACUAUUCAUUCACUAUACAACAUGGCAGGUAGCUACUAUUCAUUCACUAUA